Molecule: non-coding RNA, 169 nt
Filed under: Danio rerio (zebrafish)
Lineage: Eukaryota; Metazoa; Chordata; Actinopteri; Cypriniformes; Danionidae
Description: Eukaryotic small subunit ribosomal RNA
Rfam family: Eukaryotic small subunit ribosomal RNA
Source: Rfam by way of RNAcentral
CACUGCCCAUCGCUACUAUGGAUUGAGCAGCUCAAUGAGAACCUCAGCCUGGUCCAGUCUGGGGCUCCCUGACUGUGGGCCCUGGUGGAGCAGCGGGAGGACAAUCAAGCUCAGUUGUUGAGAGUAAGUAAAAGUCGUAACAAGGUUUCCGUAGUUGAACCUGCGGAAG